Molecule: ribosomal RNA, 252 nt
Filed under: uncultured bacterium
Lineage: Bacteria
Description: partial 16S ribosomal RNA
Rfam family: Bacterial small subunit ribosomal RNA
Source: RNAcentral
UACGUAGGGGGCUAGCGUUAUCCGGAAUUACUGGGCGUAAAGGGUGCGUAGGUGGUUUCUUAAGUCAGAGGUGAAAGGCUACGGCUCAACCGUAGUAAGCCUUUGAAACUGGGGAACUUGAGUGCAGGAGAGGAGAGUGGAACUCCAUGUGUAGCGGUGAAAUGCGUAGAUAUAUGGAGGAACACCGGUGGCGAAAGCGGCUCUCUGGCCUGUAACUGACACUGAGGCUCGAAAGCGUGGGGAGCAAACAGG